CCUACGGGUGGCAGCAGUGAGGAAUAUUGGUCAAUGGACGCAAGUCUGAACCAGCCAUGCCGCGUGCAGGAAGACGGCUCUAUGAGUAGUAAACUGCUUUUGUACGAGGGUAAACGCAGAUACGCGUAUCUUUCUGCACGUAUCGUACGAAUAAGGAUGGGCUAACUCCGUGACAGCAGCCGCGGUAAUCCGGAGGAUUCAAGCGUUAUCCGGAUUUAGUGGGUUUAAAGGGUGCGUAGGCGGUCGGAUAAGUUAGAGGUGAAAUCCCGAGGCUCAACUUCGGAAUUGCCUCUGAGACUGUUCGGCUAGAGAGUAGUUGCGGUAGGCGGAAUGUAUGGUGUAGCGGUGAAAUGCUUAGAGAUCAUACAGAACACCGAUUGCGAAGGCAGCUUACCAAGCUACGUCUGACGUUGAGGCACGAAAGCGUGGGGAGCAAACAGGAUUAGAUACCCGAGUAGUC
RNAcentral lists this ribosomal RNA (460 nucleotides) under uncultured bacterium. RNAcentral's name for it is "partial 16S ribosomal RNA". It matches the Rfam family "Bacterial small subunit ribosomal RNA", at positions 338 to 795 of the family's 1533-position model. The record is from RNAcentral.